AUGGCCAUACCAUGCUGAAAACGCCGGUUCUCGUCCAAUCACCGAUGUUAAGCAUUAUCCAGCGCAGUCAGUGUUAGGAGGGUGAUCACCUAAGAACACCGUGGGCCGUU
Molecule: non-coding RNA, 110 nt
Organism: Trichonephila inaurata madagascariensis
Lineage: Eukaryota; Metazoa; Arthropoda; Arachnida; Araneae; Nephilidae
Source: the annotation of a GenBank genome assembly